Molecule: ribosomal RNA, 460 nt
Filed under: uncultured bacterium
Lineage: Bacteria
Description: partial 16S ribosomal RNA
Rfam family: Bacterial small subunit ribosomal RNA
Source: RNAcentral
CCUACGGGCGGCAGCAGUGAGGAAUAUUGGUCAAUGGACGAGAGUCUGAACCAGCGACGUAGCGUGAAGGAUGACUGCCCUAUGGGUUGUAAACUUCUUUUAUAUGGGAAUAAAAUGUUCCACGUGUGGGCUUUUGUCUGUACCAUAUGAAUAAGGAUCGGCUAACUCCGUGCCAGCAGCCGCGGUAAUACGGAGGUUCCGAGCGUUAUCCGGAUUUAUUGGGUUUAAAGGGAGCGUGGGUGGAUUGUUAAGUCAGGUGUGAAAGUUUGGGGCUCAACCGUAAAAUUGCAGUUGAAACUGGCAGGCUGGAGUACAGUAGAGGUGGGCGGAAUUCGCGGUGUAGCGGUGAAAUGCUUAGAUAUCACGAAGAACCCCGAUUGCGAAGGCAGUUCACUGGACUGCAACUGACACUGAGGCUCGAAAGUGUGGGUAUCAAACAGGAUUAGAUACCCCGGUAGUC